RNAcentral lists this ribosomal RNA (1433 nucleotides) under uncultured bacterium. RNAcentral's name for it is "16S ribosomal RNA". It matches the Rfam family "Bacterial small subunit ribosomal RNA". The record is from RNAcentral.
GUUUGAUCCUGGCUCAGAACGUACGCUGGCGGCACGCCUAACACAUGCAAGUCGAACGCAGUAGCAAUACUGAGUGGCAAACGGGUGAGUAUAAUGUGGGAAUCUGCCUUUUGGUUUGGAAUAACACGAGGAAACUUGUGCUAAUACCGGAUAAGCCUUCACAGGGAAAGUUUUAUACGCCAAAAGAUGAGCCCGCACUUGAUUAGCUAGUUGGUGAGGUAAUAGCUCACCAAGGCAACGAUCAAUAGCUGUUCUUAGAGGAAGACCAGCCACAUUGGGACUGAGACACGGCCCAAACUCCUACGGGAGGCAGCAGUGGGGAAUCUUGCACAAUGGGGGAAACCCUGAUGCAGCGAUGCCGCGUGAGUGAAGAAGGCCUUUGGGUUGUAAAACUCUUUCGUCGGGGAAGAAAAUGACUGUACCCGAAUAAGAAGGUCCGGCUAACUUCGUGCCAGCAGCCGCGGUAAUACGAAGGGACCUAGCGUAGUUCGGAAUUACUGGGCUUAAAGAGUUCGUAGGUGGUUGAAAAAGUUGGUGGUGAAAUCCCAGAGCUUAACUCUGGAACUGCCAUCAAAACUUUUCAGCUAGAGUAUGAUAGAGGAAAGCAGAAUUUCUAGUGUAGAGGUGAAAUUCGUAGAUAUUAGAAAGAAUACCAAUUGCGAAGGCAGCUUUCUGGAUCAUUACUGACACUGAGGAACGAAAGCAUGGGUAGCGAAGAGGAUUAGAUACCCUCGUAGUCCAUGCCGUAAACGAUGUGUGUUAGACGUUGGAAAUUUAUUUUCAGUGUCGCAGGGAAACCGAUAAACACACCGCCUGGGGAGUACGACCGCAAGGUUAAAACUCAAAUGAAUUGACGGGGACCCGCACAAGUAGUGGAGCAUGUGGUUUAAUUCGAAGAUACGCGCAGAACCUUACCAACACUUGACAUGUUCGUCGCGACUCUAAGAGAUUAGAGUUUUCGGUUCGGCCGGACGAAACACAGGUGCUGCAUGGCUGUCGUCAGCUCGUGUCGUGAGAUGUUGGGUUAAGUCCCGCAACGAGCGCAACCCUCACUUUUAGUUGCCAUCAUUAAGUUGGGCACUCUGAAAGAACUGCCAGUGAUAAGCUGGAGGAAGGUGGGGAUGACGUCAAGUCCUCAUGGCCCUUACGUGUUGGGCUACACACGUGCUACAAUGGCAUCUACAACAGGAAGCAAAACGGCAACGUUAAGCAAAUCCCGAAAAGAUGCCUCAGUUCGGAUUGCACUCUGCAACUCGAGUGCAUGAAGCUGGAAUUACUAGUAAUCGUGGAUCAGCGUGCCACGGUGAAUGCGUUCCCGGGUCUUGUACACACCGCCCGUCACACCAUGGGAGUUGGUUCUACCUUAAGGCAAGGUUUUAAACCCUUGACCACGGUAUAGUCAGCGACUGGGGUGAAGUCGUAACAAGGUAACC